Long non-coding RNA from Daphnia pulex (common water flea), 756 nucleotides. RefSeq lists it as uncharacterized. Lineage: Eukaryota; Metazoa; Arthropoda; Branchiopoda; Diplostraca; Daphniidae. The record is from RefSeq and is a predicted model, not a curated record. The transcript is spliced from 2 exons.
CUGGCGCUAGUGAACAUAUCAUAAUCUAAUCUUUAUAAAUUCUCUAUAUAUUUUGAGAUCGUUGCUCUUGACUCGUCUAUAAACGAUACCUUGUAGCCAAGUGCCUAAGGUAUUUCCACCACAAAGUUCCAGAUUCUAGAUCCCCCAUCGCUGUAAUCGAAUAAAGGACUUGUUGUAUCAAGAGGCCGAUGCAUUCAUGCAACAAAUCGUGUUUAAGCGCUAACCGCAGAUCCAGAAGAAUGGUUUCACAGCGGGAUUUUUUUCACAUAUACUUAGUCCCGAUUGCAUCAUGGCACUUGAAAACAUAUUCGAUUUUAAGCUUACAAAAACAAGUCAGCGCCUUUCUCAGCACACACGGAUUCCGUUUCGGAUACGUAUGCAAUUAUUUCAGUUCGAGCCGCUAACUGAAGCGCGAGACCCACGUGAACAUGAAAAAUGUAAGCUUCUAGAUUACUAGAAUUCCCUCGAGGCUAUAUCUACUUGACGGAGCGACAGCCGUGUGAACAUUUACUUUUGUGUGACGGUAGCUCUCAACACUUGGUUGCCCUUCGCCAAACACUUUAAUUCACGCGUUCAGUUUACACCCAACUGGUGAAUUCCGCCAUCUAGUGUUAUCACAAAAAAGUCGUUAUUUUAAGAAGUAAAAAACCAUUAAACAAGCGUUCAUGAACGUUACACUUGCAUGUGUAUGAAAUACAAAUGAAAUAUUAUUUCUGGACACAAACAUAGACACAAUAGAAGAGCAAUUUAACCUAA